UGUGGACCAAUGAAUAUUGAGGCUCGUGGCGGAUAUCGUUAUUUUCUCACCUUCACAGAUGACUUAAGCAGAUAUGGGUAUAUCUACUUAAUGAAACAUAAGUCUGAAACAUUUGAAAAGUUCAAAGAAUUUCAGAGUGAAGUUGAAAAUCAUCGUAACAAGAAAAUAAAAUUUCUACGAUCUGAUCGUGGAGGAGAAUAUUUGAGUUACGAGUUUGGUGUACAUUUGAAAAAUUGUGGAAUAGUUUCGCAACUCACGCCACCCGGAACACCACAACGUAAUGGUGUGUCCGAACGUCGUAAUCGUACUUUACUAGAUAUGGUACGAUCUAUGAUGUCUCUUACUGAGUUACCGCUAUCAUUUUGGGGUUAUGCUUUAGAGACGGCCGCAUUCACGUUAAAUAGGGCACCAUCAAAAUCCAUUGAGACGACGCCUUAU
RNAcentral lists this ribosomal RNA (438 nucleotides) under Triticum aestivum (bread wheat). Its description in RNAcentral is "partial small subunit ribosomal RNA". The record is from RNAcentral. Lineage: Eukaryota; Viridiplantae; Streptophyta; Magnoliopsida; Poales; Poaceae.